AUAAUAUUAAAUACUAAAUGACAAUGUUAACAAAAAUAACAUGGUAAUUUUCUUAAAUAUAGUAUUAUUAAUGAACGAAAAAUAAAGUAGCUAGCAAUAUGUAUAUGAACCAAGUCACACGUACAACCAAACAACUUAACAAACCUUGAGCUUUACAUCGAUGUUUGUGUCUGGACUAACACAUGAUUUAUUGAUACAUAAUCAUUCCAUAUUUUCCCAGUGGAACUGAUGAAGAAAUAUAGGAGGCGUUUGGUUCCACAUUUGUAUCGUUUUCGAUUCUCAAUAUCGGGAAGCGAUGCUUCCAAUAUUUCCUCCAGAAUAUGUUUUUUGUUUGGCUCAGCCACGAGUGAAUACUUAGUGGACAUGAUUCUGUAUCGAGCCGUGAUCGGACGUUUUCGCGGAAGUGAAGUGCUGUAUCUGAUAGCAUCGUAACAUAAAACAGAAGGGCUGAACCAAACGACUUGUACUGUCUUCCGAAAGCGCUGAAUCGGAAAAGGGACUUUUCCACCCAACCAAACAUGUUGAUAGUGAACAGCGUACGAUACGAUCAGUUUGCAAUUGAUUAUUGGCUUUGUCCUCUGGCAUGCCCAAACCUAGACAGAAAAAUCAGGGCAACAUACAUCAGUUCUCUUUCAGAAAAUGGAAGGCCUAAUGACUGAAUAUAUGCAAGUAAAAUACCGUAUCAAAUGUUUUUUCUACCCUACUCAUAUUAGGUAUAUUCAGUAGUGUACAUUAAAACUUGAUUAUAUCGCAAUGUUUCAUAUUGCCACUGUAACUACUGAGACUAUUCUGUCCAAAAUCAACCCUUGGUCACCAUGAGCUUCAUAGUAUUUCAAUCUUAUUAGAUAAGAGUAACACAUGGGGCGCUAUACGAAAUACUUCUAGAUCUGAUAGGAGUAUGUGAGUGAUUACCUUAUCUUAUGUCGGAGGGACUUGUACCAGAUCCCAGAAGAGCACUCCACAAAAGUUGAUGCCAUCGGCUGCAUGAAAUUGAUGUCCGCUGUUGCAUAAGUUCUUAACAUGCACACCAUGGAGAGACGACGGAGAGGAAGAGAUGGCUAGUCAACCUUCCACCUUCCUAAUAUCAAUCGGAGGUGGGGCCUGCCUGAAAGUUCAUCAUGGUUAGAUCUGACGAUAAAAAUAUUGAACCCAGCCUCUGCCCUCUUAGGAUUGACGUGGGUGGCACGAAACAUAUAUACAACAUUGUGACUUUGAUUAAAACAAUAACAACUUGCUGAUAAGAAAUGGUGCAUUUAGUAAUUUAUUAAAUCAAAAAUUACAACUAAACCACAAAGGACUCAGAGGCGAAGUAGCUAAUUCAACUCUUACAAUUGACUCGACCCAUUCCAAAUGCAUUGGAAUUGAAUAUUAUGAUAAAAGAAGUGUUUUAAAUAAAACUGCAUCUGAAUCUCAAAAUCGUGGUAUGAGCAUAAAACAUACCUUCGAUAGUUCUUUUCCUGUGCUCUGUCACAUGAACUCGAAGUGUUUAAUAGCGCCAUCCAAUGUAGCAUUAUACUGUGCACUGUGCAGGACAUUGAACUGAACUGUGAAAAGUAAAGGAAUGCUCAAUGAUGCCACUGUACAUAGCAGAUGUUGUCAAAUAAUAGUGAAAAUGGACAUAUUUAUCAAGAAGCAAAAGCACGUCAUGCAAUAAGUAAAAAUAUAUAGUACAGGGAUUCGGGCAAUUAGUUAAUAUGCUAGUUUAAUAAAAUAGAUACAUAUAAUCAUUUAUGGGAUGUUGUCCUCGCUUUAGUGUGAAAUAUUGAGACAUCAUUUUUUGACUGUUGCGUCAUGCCUCCUUCAUAUAAACCCAUCUCUUCUUUAUCUUCUUACUUUAAGAAAAUACCAGAGAUAAGAUGAAAGUGAUAAUUCUGUUUAUCUCUCUAGAGGCAAAUUUUCCAACGGAAGACAUAAUGCUAUGUUUUUGUUACCUAAACCACGUUGCAUAUACUUUCUGAUACUAUCCUAAGAAUUAUAAGCCAUGGUGUCAAUGUGUAUUCUUCUUCUAAACCAAAUUGCAUCAUCUACCCUGUGUGCAGCUUACACAUCAAAGCAUGCAUUAAUUGUUGUAUCUAAAAAUAAUGCUGCUAAAACCACAUCUCUCGUAAAUGAUCCCUUCCUCAACUCCACCCUGAAGUAUGGAUGCUGAUGGAUACAGAGUUGCAAACCUCUGUAUCUGAACUUUAGCAUAUAAUUUGCACCAUAACUUUUUUUCCCAAAAUGCUAAAACUACAUCUCUGGUAAAUGCUUCCUUCCUCAACUCCACCCUGAAGUAUGUAUGCUGAUGGAUACAGAGUUGCAGACCUCUGUAUCUAAACUUUAGCAUAUCAUUUGCACCAUAACUUUUUACCCAAAAUACUCGCCACCAUGGACCUCAAAAUCCCUAACCCGUCGGUGCUGACCAUCUCCAUGUGGCCCCUUAAGCUUUGUCUGGGAGCUUCAGAAACAAAGACCACAUGCAUAGAGAGCACUCUCAAUAUGUAAGCAAAAAAGGUUCUGUUGUAAAUACUAUGAUUUUGUCUUCACGUCCUUCAAAUAUAUCAACUUAUAUAACUAUUCGCGUACAGUAACAGUGGGACUGAUUAAAAACAUUAUUUCCCAGUGUCCUCUAUUUACAAUUAAUUGCAUGGAGUAACAGUCAGAAUUUUUAUUAACUUCAAAUUCCUUUGUCAUGUGAACAUAAUGAACUACAGAGUAUUAGUCGGAUUGCAGAAAAACUAAUAGAUAAGAUGCUGUUUUGCAGCCAGUGUUAGCUAUUUAAAAAAAUGUAAUCGGAUACAUAAUGCAUACCUAGAUCUGCACCAAAAGGGGUCCAAGACUCCUAGUCUCCUUAUCGAUCAUGGCAGCUAGAAACUCUUUGGACAUCACGUAAAAAGACCAGAUCGUCCACUCAGGGAAAGCCCCAACACCACUGGGACGACCAGUUUGCUAGACCUGGCUACAGUGACAGCAUGGAAACGGUAGGAUUCUUUGUAGGAGGAUGUAAUCUCAGACAUAAAUAGUCUAGCUGCUCAUGAAAAAGACAGCGGACGCGUCACGAUAGCGACCGGAGGAGCAAAGGAAGGAGACAUAGGCGGCAAAGAGAAGAGGAGGAUGCAGGGAAGACUCUUGUCGACGGUUUGGACUCAAUGCGGCAGGAGAGAUUCUUGGGUUAGGACUCUAUAGACGCUAGAGACGUGGAGCUAAUAGGAAAGAUAAAAAAGGUUAAGGUGGAGAUUGAUGGCCGGUCAGAUUAGCAACCCACAACAGAUUGGCCUUUUUUUUUUCUUGAAACACACAACAGAUUGGACUAAUUUUAGGUUGUCUCUCUGUAAUUCAAUGUGAGAUAAUUAGUAACUAUAAGGUUUAUAUCUGAACCCUAACAUUGCUUAGGCUCGACUUUCAGAUUUGUAAAAAUCAAACGCUAUGUCAUAUCAAGCAGCUUUGAAGCCGCACUAAUGAUCACAUCCUCAAGUGGCCCUCAAAAAUCAUGAGUGGACAUCUUCGCUCAUAGUCAAAGGUGCAGUAGUAUUUCCUCAGUGAAUUAACAUGAUUUUGCUAAAAGAUGCUAAUCAUCCAUAUGACCAUGCCUUUGCAGCAUAAACAGAUAAAGCAUCAUUCAAUAAUAAAUACUUGGACGGGGAAUGAGUUACUCCUUGUGGGAAUUAGCAGUUUAGCAGAGACAUUUUCUUGGCAAACAAAUUAAGCUCACGUUCUGCAUAUUAAAUUGUAGUACACUGGGCAACAGAAAGCAAAUUGUGUAUUAUUCAUCACUGGAAUAUUUUUUUAAGCUAACUAAACCACCAACUGUAACAAAAUUAUAUUGUCCUCUUUCAAAUUCAAUCCAAUCGACAACUCUCGACUUUUAGUCCUAACAGAAGCAUCUCGUAACAAACUAACUAAAGAAUCAUGAUUCAAAAAAACAAAACUAUGUAAAUGACCAAUGCAAAGCUAAAGGAUAGUAGUAUUGACCAAUUUCCUUGGCAAACCCAAGUUCGUUUGUGAAGGAGAGGAUAUUCUGCCCACUAUCAUGGCAAUCUAAUGGCACUCCACCUAGAAAAUUCACGAAUCCAUUCCACCCAAGUUCCAUGAGAGAACUUCUGAGAAGGAAAAAAUUACCUUGCCGGGUAGCCGACUUAGAACACCCGAAUUUGCUACCAGAGCACAAUUUUCUGCGGGUACUUCUGCGCCAUGGUGGUCCGAUGUGUGGAGGGGAACAACAGGAUCG
This 4207-nucleotide long non-coding RNA is filed under the name Triticum aestivum (bread wheat). Its description in RNAcentral is "long non-coding RNA (TAES_LNC013516)". Lineage: Eukaryota; Viridiplantae; Streptophyta; Magnoliopsida; Poales; Poaceae. The record is from RNAcentral.